Molecule: non-coding RNA, 409 nt
Filed under: Rhodocyclaceae bacterium
Lineage: Bacteria; Pseudomonadati; Pseudomonadota; Betaproteobacteria; Rhodocyclales; Rhodocyclaceae
Source: RNAcentral
UGUUGAUGAUCUUGCCGGCCUUCUUCGGGAUGAAGCAGCGCUUGCCGACCUCGCGGCUGAGGAAGAACAUGGCGUUGAUGUUGAGGUCCAUCACCUUGUUCCAGGCCUCGUCCGGGUAAUCCUCGGCCGGCGCGCCCCAGGUGGCGCCGGCGUUGUUCACCAGGAUGUCGAUGGCGCCGAACUUCGCCAGCACGGCGUCCACCAUGGCGGGGAUCCGGUCGAACUUCGAGAGGUCGUUGGUGACGGUGAGCACCUCGAUGCCUUUCUUCCUCAGGUGCGCCUCCGCCUCCUUCAGUUCGUCGGCCUUGCGCGCCGUGAUCGCCACCUUGGCGCCCAUCUCGCCGAGCGCCUCGGCCAUCUGCAGGCCGAGCCCGCGCGAGCCGCCGGUGAUGAGGGCGACCUUGCCGGU